Molecule: ribosomal RNA, 369 nt
Filed under: Esperiana esperi
Lineage: Eukaryota; Metazoa; Mollusca; Gastropoda; Melanopsidae
Description: partial small subunit ribosomal RNA
Source: RNAcentral
UUCUAAAUAUAAAUUGGUAUAUCCCUACCAGAGUACUAUGAAUCUUUCAUUUAAAACUCAAAGGACUUGGCGGUGCUUUAGACUUCUCAGGGGAACCUGUUUCAUAAUCGACAGUCCACGUAAAACCUUUCCUUCUUUUGCUUUCAGCAUGUAUACCGUCGUCGUCAGGUAACUUUUAAAAAUAUUAGGAGUUAGCAAUAAAGUUAAUUUAAACUUUUACGUCAGAUCAAGGUGCAGCCCAUAAGAGGGUGAGAAUGGGUUACAAUUAAAAAUUAUAAUUACGGAGAGAGAAAUGAAAUUUUUGCCGGAAGGAGGACUUGAAAGUAAGAAAAAUUAUAUAAAUUUUCUGAAUUCAGCUCUGAAGCGUGC